Molecule: ribosomal RNA, 512 nt
Filed under: uncultured bacterium
Lineage: Bacteria
Description: bacterial SSU rRNA
Rfam family: Bacterial small subunit ribosomal RNA
Source: RNAcentral
GACGAACGCUGGCGGCGUGCUUAACACAUGCAAGUGGGGCGACGAACCAGGCUUCGGCCUGGGGCAAAGCCGCGAACGGGUGAGUAACACGUGGGUAACCUGCCCCGAAGACUGGGACAACCCGGGGAAACCCGGGCUAAUACCAGAUGUGGUCACCGUUCAUAAGAACGAUCACUAAAGGAAGCUUCGGCCUCCGCUUCGGGAUGGGCCCGCGGCCCAUUAGCUUGUUGGUGAGGUAACGGCUCACCAAGGCGACGAUGGGUAGCUGGUCUGAGAGGACGAUCAGCCACACUGGGACUGAGACACGGCCCAGACUCCUACGGGAGGCAGCAGUGGGGAAUCUUGCGCAAUGCGCGAAAGCGUGACGCAGCAACGCCGCGUGGGGGAAGAAGGCCUUCGGGUUGUAAACCUCUUUCAGGAGGGACGAAGCUUCGGGAGCGAAUAGCUCUCCGGAGUGACGGUACCUCCAGAAGAAGCCCCGGCUAACUACGUGCCAGCCGCCGCCGUAAAAC